RNAcentral lists this long non-coding RNA (969 nucleotides) under Phoenix dactylifera (date palm). RNAcentral's name for it is "long non-coding RNA (PDAC_LNC016705)". Lineage: Eukaryota; Viridiplantae; Streptophyta; Magnoliopsida; Arecales; Arecaceae. The record is from RNAcentral.
GUGGAUGAUCUAAUUGGAUAAAGGUAAAUAUGAAAGGAUCUGGACUCUGCAUAAUUUUUCGAGCUUUUAUUUUCCUCUUUAAAUAUAGCAGGGAUGCUACAAUUUAGAUUCAAACUUAGGGCUUUCUCGUGUGGGUAGCAGGGCCAACUAAGUGGGCCAAAUCCAAGUAAUAAGCUAUGAUGGAGAUGCUUCGUCCUUCAUUAAACUUUUAAGUAGUAUAGUUUUGUAAAAGCCAUGUGAACUUGUAUUUAGUUCCAUAUCGAUUAUUUGUCAGAAAGAUUUUGGGUGUUUAUAUAGGACUAAGAAAACCCACAAAAUACCUAGGUUAUUACAAAUGGUAUCAAAGACUCGGCCCGAUCUAUUUGAACAAGGAGACACUGCAGUAUAGACGCAUUGAGGCUGACAUGGGUCGGUCGUAGUAUUUUUGAUUAGAUUUAAAUAAAUUUGGACCUUUAGCCUGAUGAGGACGUCGGAGCUUAAAUGGGAAGAGUAUAUGAUGACCUAUGCGAGCAUGUAUUUAGUUCGACAUUGUUUAUUCAUCGAAAAAAUUUGGGGUACUUAUACGUGACUAAGAAACCCAAUAAAUAGCUUUUGGUUAGCUAUUUUGGAUGUAGUCCUAAAUUAUUACAGAGUUUGAUGGUGGAAGCUUGUCACCUAUGCUUAGGGUUAUGAGAUGGUGGGGACGAUGAAUAGUAUAACCUCAUCGUGGGGCUACUGGUUACGAACUUUGUUCAAAUAAUAUCAUCUCUUUGUUAGUGGGCGGUGACAAGACCCUUAUAAUAUCAAAAAGUCCCAGCAAAGGAGAAAAGAAUGCAAACCCUUUAGCAUAUCACAUAAUAAAAAAAAGUCCCCCUCACAAAUAGCACUAUAAACAUUAGCAAACCUUCUAACAUGAAAACUUUUCUAUACGAAAUAGGGUUACAACACUAAUAGACUAUAGCUCAAUUUGUUGGCUGGUUACAAAUUUGC